CCCGACGCAAGUGUCUUUGCUAGACGCAGUUUUCAAUUUCCCGUCCAGCGCCCGCGACUAGGAUUAGCGUGUGUCUGACAGGGUAGGGGGCGUGGCAUCACGAUGGUGGCUCUCCAUCGUGAUGUCAGCCAGCCAUCACGAUGGACGAUGAUAUCGUCCAUCGGCACAACCCUAUAGCUAAUCCAUGUAAAA
Long non-coding RNA from Sander lucioperca (pikeperch), 192 nucleotides. RefSeq lists it as uncharacterized. NCBI's taxonomy places the organism in Eukaryota, Metazoa, Chordata, Actinopteri, Perciformes, Percidae. The record is from RefSeq and is a predicted model, not a curated record. The transcript has 3 exons.